GCAAUCUGCCUUUCACAGAGGGAUAGCCCAGAGAAAUUUGGAUUAAUACCUCAUAGCAUUACAGGAUGGCAUCAUCCUGCAAUUAAAGUCACAACGGUGAAAGAUGAGCAUGCGUCCCAUUAGCUAGUUGGUAAGGUAACGGCUUACCAAGGCGACGAUGGGUAGGGGUCCUGAGAGGGAGAUCCCCCACACUGGUACUGAGGCACGGACCAGACUCCUACGGGAGGCAGCAGUGAGGAAUAUUGGUCAAUGGACGCAAGUCUGAACCAGCCAUGCCGCGUGCAGGAUGACGGUCCUAUGGAUUGUAAACUGCUUUUGCACAGGAAGAAACACUCCGACGUGUCGGAGCUUGACGGUACUGUGAGAAUAAGGAUCGGCUAACUCCGUGCCAGCAGCCGCGGUAAUACGGAGGAUCCAAGCGUUAUCCGGAAUCAUUGGGUUUAAAGGGUCCGUAGGCGGUCUUGUAGGUCAGUGGUGAAAGCCCAUCGCUCAACGGUGGAACGGCCAUUGAUACUGCAGGACUUGAAUUAUUGGGAAGUAACUAGAAUAUGUAGUGUAGCGGUGAAAUGCUUAGAGAUUACAUGGAAUACCAAUUGCGAAGGCAGGUUACUACUAAUGGAUUGACGCUGAUGGACGAAAGCGUGGGUAGCGAACAGGAUUAGAUACCCUGGUAGUCCACGCCGUAAACGAUGGAUACUAGCUGUUGGAAGCAAUUUCAGUGGCUAAGCGAAAGUGAUAAGUAUCCCACCUGGGGAGUACGUUCGCAAGAAUGAAACUCAAAGGAAUUGACGGGGGCCCGCACAAGCGGUGGAGCACGUGGUUUAAUUCGAUG
This 832-nucleotide ribosomal RNA is filed under the name uncultured Bacteroidota bacterium. RNAcentral describes it as "bacterial SSU rRNA". It matches the Rfam family "Bacterial small subunit ribosomal RNA", at positions 121 to 956 of the family's 1533-position model. The record is from RNAcentral. Lineage: Bacteria; Pseudomonadati; Bacteroidota.